UCCGGUAUGGUGUAAUGGCUAACAUUUCGCGCUCUCAUUACUGAGAGGUUUACCUUGAUCCGCGGAGCUCAGGGUUCGAUUCCCUGUACCGGAG
This 94-nucleotide transfer RNA is filed under the name Ilyonectria sp. MPI-CAGE-AT-0026. It matches the Rfam family "tRNA". From Rfam's summary of the family: Transfer RNA (tRNA) molecules are approximately 80 nucleotides in length. Their secondary structure includes four short double-helical elements and three loops (D, anti-codon, and T loops). Lineage: Eukaryota; Fungi; Ascomycota; Sordariomycetes; Hypocreales; Nectriaceae. The record is from Rfam by way of RNAcentral.